Molecule: ribosomal RNA, 332 nt
Filed under: uncultured bacterium
Lineage: Bacteria
Description: partial 16S ribosomal RNA
Rfam family: Bacterial small subunit ribosomal RNA
Source: RNAcentral
CCUACGGGAGGCAGCAGUGAGGAAUAUUGGUCAAUGGGCGCGAGCCUGAACCAGCCAAGUAGCGUGAAGGAUGACUGCCCUACGGGUUGUCAACUUCUUUUAUAAAGGAAUAAAAUUAUGCACUUGUGCCUUUGUGUAUGUACUUUAUGAAUAAGGAUAGGCUAACUUCGUUCCAGCAGCCGCGGUAAUACGGAGGAUCCGAGCGUUAUCCGGAUGUGUUGGGCUUAAAGGGAGCGUAGAGGGGUUGUUAAGUCAGUUGUGAAAGUUUGCGGCUCAACCGUAAAAUUGCAAUUGAUACUGGCAGUCUAGAGUACAGUAGAGGUAGGCGGAAU